Non-coding RNA from Danio rerio (zebrafish), 74 nucleotides. Lineage: Eukaryota; Metazoa; Chordata; Actinopteri; Cypriniformes; Danionidae. The record is from Rfam.
GUCUCUGUGGUGCAAUCAGUUAGCGCAUUCAGCUGUUAACUGAAAGGUUGAUGGUUCAAGCCCACCCAGGGAUG